GAUGAACGCUGGCGGCGUGCCUAACACAUGCAAGUCGAGCGAUCUUCUUCGGAAGAGAGCGGCGGACGGGUGAGUAACGCGUGGGUAACCUGCCCUGUACACACGGAUAACAUACCGAAAGGUAUGCUAAUACGGGAUAACAUAAGAAAGUCGCAUGGCUUUCUUAUCAAAGCUUUUGCGGUACAGGAUGGACCCGCGUCUGAUUAGCUAGUUGGUAAGGUAACGGCUUACCAAGGCGACGAUCAGUAGCCGACCUGAGAGGGUGAUCGGCCACAUUGGAACUGAGACACGGUCCAAACUCCUACGGGAGGCAGCAGUGGGGAAUAUUGCACAAUGGGCGAAAGCCUGAUGCAGCAACGCCGCGUGAGCGAUGAAGGCCUUCGGGUCGUAAAGCUCUGUCCUCAAGGAAGAUAAUGACGGUACUUGAGGAGGAAGCCCCGGCUAACUACGUGCCAGCAGCCGCGGUAAUACGUAGGGGGCUAGCGUUAUCCGGAAUUACUGGGCGUAAAGGGUGCGUAGGCGGUCUUUCAAGUCAGAAGUGAAAGGCUACGGCUCAACCGUAGUAAGCUUUUGAAACUGUAAGACUUGAGUGCAGGAGAGGAGAGUGGAAUUCCUAGUGUAGCGGUGAAAUGCGUAGAUAUUAGGAGGAACACCAGUUGCGAAGGCGGCUCUCUGGACUGUAACUGACGCUGAGGCACGAAAGCGUGGGGAG
This 712-nucleotide ribosomal RNA is filed under the name uncultured Clostridium sp. Its description in RNAcentral is "bacterial SSU rRNA". It matches the Rfam family "Bacterial small subunit ribosomal RNA", at positions 28 to 768 of the family's 1533-position model. Lineage: Bacteria; Bacillati; Bacillota; Clostridia; Eubacteriales; Clostridiaceae. The record is from RNAcentral.